UGGGGAAUAUUGGACAAUGGGGGCAACCCUGAUCCAGCCAUGCCGCGUGUGUGAAGAAGGCCUUUUGGUUGUAAAGCACUUUAAGCAGGGAGGAGAGGCUAAUGGUUAAUACCCAUUAGAUUAGACGUUACCUGCAGAAUAAGCACCGGCUAACUCUGUGCCAGCAGCCGCGGUAAUACAGAGGGUGCGAGCGUUAAUCGGAAUUACUGGGCGUAAAGCGAGUGUAGGUGGCUCAUUAAGUCACAUGUGAAAUCCCCGGGCUUAACCUGGGAACUGCAUGUGAUACUGGUGGUGCUAGAAUAUGUGAGAGGGAAGUAGAAUUCCCAGGUGUAGCGGUGAAAUGCGUAGAGAUCUGGAGGAAUACCGAUGGCGAAGGCAGCUUCCCGGGCAUAAUAUUGACACUGAGAUUCGAAAAGCGUGGGGUAGCAAACAGGAUUAGAUACCCUGGUAGUCCACGCCGUAAACGAUGUCUACUAGCCGUUGGGGUCCUUGAGACUUUAGUGGCGCAGUU
Molecule: ribosomal RNA, 511 nt
Filed under: uncultured bacterium
Lineage: Bacteria
Description: partial 16S ribosomal RNA
Rfam family: Bacterial small subunit ribosomal RNA
Source: RNAcentral